ACACUUUUGUAUCUCUUCAGAAUCGUAUAAAUCUUUUUUUUUACUAAAUAUUUCCGAGGACAUUAUGAGUAUCAACACAUUUUUUGAUGCCCUGCUUUACUGCUGGGCU
The sequence is a small nuclear RNA, 109 nucleotides long. Its record names the gene U5. It matches the Rfam family "U5 spliceosomal RNA". Rfam says of the family: U5 RNA is a component of both types of known spliceosome. The precise function of this molecule is unknown, though it is known that the 5' loop is required for splice site selection and p220 binding, and that both the 3' stem-loop and the Sm site are important for Sm protein binding and cap methylation. The record is from Ensembl.